RNAcentral lists this ribosomal RNA (330 nucleotides) under Triticum aestivum (bread wheat). Its description in RNAcentral is "partial small subunit ribosomal RNA". The record is from RNAcentral. Lineage: Eukaryota; Viridiplantae; Streptophyta; Magnoliopsida; Poales; Poaceae.
AUGGUCGCCUCCCGUGCACAAGUCCACCCAUCUCCUCAUCCUCCAUUGUCGUCCAUGGCCGGAUGGUGCAGAGGAGCGUGGUGGAUCACCGCCGAUGCUGCAACAUGUGUGUGUGUUGUAAGAGGUGGAGCUAUGACGAGCUGGCUGCUCGGUGAUGUUGUCGUUAUUGCUGGAGGUGACGACAACAUGGUCCAUAUUGCAAUGGGUGACCGCAACAUGGUUUAUGUUGCAGUGGGUGACCAAAGGCCCCACGUCAUUCAAGCUGGUGAUGACCACACCAUGUCUCAUGUUGCAAUGGAUGACCAAAGCACAUGUCAUGUAUACGCAUAA